GUGUAAAUGUUAGGCUAAAUGAUUCAAUCUUUGUAUCUCCAAAGGGAGAAAUCAAAGCUGUAGAUGUAAUACAUCAAUUACAAGAAUAAGUUCCAACUUACUACAGAAGGAUUACACUAUCCUGUUCUUUCCCUGAAUAACAACAUAGAGCUUUAAGCCUUUAACACUUGAAUAAAAAUUGUAAUUAUCUCUGUAUGCACUACACAAACAAGAUGUUCAUCGAAAAUUCCCCGCCUCAAGUAUCACUCGAGUAGAAGUUUCAGAUGGAAAUUUCAGGGAGCUUCAUCUAAAUGGAACAUUUGUGAAUAAGCUUCCAUGAGGUCACUUCCAACCUAAUGAACCGACUUAAACGAAUUAAAAUGCCAUCUGAGAUUGCUGAAACAUGUUCUCUUGGGUCAUCUGAAUCUCCGCUAAUACUGGAAAAAAUAUUUCUUCUUGCAAGCAAAGUAUCAAUCAUACACUUCUAGA
This 468-nucleotide unclassified non-coding RNA is filed under the name Hevea brasiliensis (rubber tree). Lineage: Eukaryota; Viridiplantae; Streptophyta; Magnoliopsida; Malpighiales; Euphorbiaceae. The record is from RNAcentral.